AGGCUUUGAUCCUGGCUCAGAACGAACGCUGGCGGCAGGCCUAACACAUGCAAGUCGAACGAAGCCUUCGGGCUUAGUGGCGGACGGGUGAGUAACGCGUGGGAACGUGCCCUUUGGUUCGGAAUAGCCCCUGGAAACGGGGAGUAAUACCGGAUGAGCCCUACGGAGGAAAGAUUUUUCGCCAAGGGAUCGGCCCGCGUUGGAUUAGGUAGUUGGUGGGGUAAUGGCCUACCAAGCCGACGAUCCAUAGCUGGUUUGAGAGGAUGAUCAGCCACACUGGGACUGAGACACGGCCCAGACUCCUACGGGAGGCAGCAGUGGGGAAUCUUAGACAAUGGGGGAAACCCUGAUCUAGCCAUGCCGCGUGAUCGAUGAAGGCCUUAGGGUUGUAAAGAUCUUUCAGCUGGGAAGAUAAUGACGGUACCAUGCUAGAAGAAGCCCCGGCUA
Molecule: ribosomal RNA, 447 nt
Filed under: uncultured Paracoccaceae bacterium
Lineage: Bacteria; Pseudomonadati; Pseudomonadota; Alphaproteobacteria; Rhodobacterales; Paracoccaceae
Description: bacterial SSU rRNA
Rfam family: Bacterial small subunit ribosomal RNA
Source: RNAcentral